This 429-nucleotide ribosomal RNA is filed under the name Fusobacteriota bacterium. RNAcentral's name for it is "Fusobacteria bacterium partial 16S ribosomal RNA". It matches the Rfam family "Bacterial small subunit ribosomal RNA", at positions 355 to 776 of the family's 1533-position model. The record is from RNAcentral. Lineage: Bacteria; Fusobacteriati; Fusobacteriota.
UGGGGAAUCUUCCGCAAUGGACGAAAGUCUGACGGAGCAACGCCGCGUGAGUGAAGACGGCCUUCGGGUUGUAAAGCUCUGUGAUCCGGGACGAAAGAGCCUGAGGUAAAUAGCCUAAGGAAGUGUCGGUACCGGAAAAGCAAGCCACGGCUAACUACGUGCCAGCAGCCGCGGUAAUACGUAGGUGGCAAGCGUUGUCCGGAAUUAUUGGGCGUAAAGCGCGCGCAGGCGGCUUCCUAAGUCCAUCUUAAAAGUGCGGGGCUUAACCCCGCGAUGGGAUGGAAACUGGGAAGCUGGAGUAUCGGAGAGGAAAGUGGAAUUCCUAGUGUAGCGGUGAAAUGCGUAGAGAUUAGGAAGAACACCGGUGGCGAAGGCGACUUUCUGGACGAAAACUGACGCUGAGGCGCGAAAGCGUGGGGAGCAAACAGG